RNAcentral lists this ribosomal RNA (485 nucleotides) under uncultured bacterium. Its description in RNAcentral is "partial 16S ribosomal RNA". It matches the Rfam family "Bacterial small subunit ribosomal RNA", at positions 29 to 507 of the family's 1533-position model. The record is from RNAcentral.
AUUGAACGCUGGCGGCAUGCCUUACACAUGCAAGUCGAACGGCAGCACGGGUGCUUGCACCUGGUGGCGAGUGGCGCACGGGUGAGUAAUACAUCGGGACAUACCUUAUCGUGGGGGGUAACGACGUCAAAGUUGCGCUGAUAACGCCUACGAACUGUGGGGACAAGCGGGGGCACGUAAGGACUCGCGCCAUUCGAGCAGCCGAUGUCUGAUUAGCUUGUUGGUGGGGUAAAAGCUAACCAAGGCGAUGCGCAGUAGCGGGUCUGAGAGGACGAUCAGCCACACUGGGACUGGGACACGGCCCAGACUCCAACGGGAGGCAGCAGUGGGGAAUUUUGGACAAGGGGGGCAACCUUGAGCAAGCAAGGCCGCGUGAGUGAAGAAGGCCUUCGGGUUGUAAAGCUCGUUUGUCAGGGAAGAAACAGCUGCUCUAACACGGUCUGCGAAUGACGGUACCUGAAGAAAAAGCACCGGCUAACUACGUG